This 1521-nucleotide ribosomal RNA is filed under the name Lacticaseibacillus rhamnosus. RNAcentral describes it as "bacterial SSU rRNA". The record is from RNAcentral. Lineage: Bacteria; Bacillati; Bacillota; Bacilli; Lactobacillales; Lactobacillaceae.
GRUSAACGCUSGCGGCGUGCCUAAUACAUGCAAGUCGAACGAGUUCUGAUUAUUGAAAGGUGCUUGCAUCUUGAUUUAAUUUUGAACGAGUGGCGGACGGGUGAAUAACACGUGGGUAACCUGCCCUUAAGUGGGGGAUAACAUUUGGAAACAGAUGCUAAUACCGCAUAAAUCCAAGAACCGCAUGGUUCUUGGCUGAAAGAUGGCGUAAGCUAUCGCUUUUGGAUGGACCCGCGGCGUAUUAGCUAGUUGGUGAGGUAACGGCUCACCAAGGCAAUGAUACGUAGCCGAACUGAGAGGUUGAUCGGCCACAUUGGGACUGAGACACGGCCCAAACUCUACGGGAGGCAGCAGUAGGGAAUCUUCCACAAUGGACGCAAGUCUGAUGGAGCAACGCCGCGUGAGUNAAGAAGGCUUUCGGGUCGUAAAACUCUGUUGUUGGAGAAGAUGCGUCGGCAGAGUAACUGUUAGUCGGCGUGACGGUAUCCAACCAGAAAGCUACGGCUAACUACGUGCCAGCAGCCGCGGUAAUACGUAGGUGGCAAGCGUUAUCCGGAUUUAUUGGGCGUAAAGCGAGCGCAGGCGGUUUUUUAAGUCUGAUGUGAAAGCCCUCGGCUUAACCGAGGAAGUGCAUCGGAAACUGGGAAACUUGAGUNCAGAAGAGGACAGUGGAACUCCAUGUGUAGCGGUGGAAUGCGUAGAUAUAUGGAAGAACACCAGUGGCGAAGGCGGCUGUCUGGUCUGUAACUGACGCUGAGGCUCGAAAGCAUGGGUAGCGAACAGAUUAGAUACCCUGGUAGUCCAUGCCGUAAACGAUGAAUGCUAGGUGUUGGAGGGUUUCCGCCCUUCAGUGCCGCAGCUAACGCAUUAAGCAUUCCGCCUGGGGAGUACGACCGCAAGGUUGAAACUCAAAGGAAUGGACGGGGGCCCGCACAAGCGGUGGAGCAUGUGGUUUAAUUCGAAGCAACGCGAAGAACCUUACCAGGUCUUGACAUGUUUUGAUCACCUGAGAGAUCAGGUUUCCCCUUCGGGGGCAAAAUGACAGGUGGUGCAUGGUUGUCGUCAGCUCGUGUCGUGAGAUGUUGGGUUAAGUCCCGCAACGAGCGCAACCCUUAUGACUAGUUGCCAGCAUUUAGUUGGGCACUCUAGUAAGACUGCCGGUGACAAACCGGAGGAAGGUGGGGAUGACGUCAAAUCAUCAUGCCCCUUAUGACCUGGGCUACACACGUGCUACAAUGGAUGGUACAACGAGUUGCGAGACCGCGAGGUCAAGCUAAUCUCUUAAAGCCAUUCUCAGUUCGGACUGUAGGCUGCAACUCGCCUACACGAAGUCGGAAUCGCUAGUAAUCGCGGAUCAGCACGCCGCGGUGAAUACGUUCCCGGGCCUUGUACACACCGCCCGUCACACCAUGAGAGUUUGUAACACCCGAAGCCGGUGGCGUAACCCUUUUAGGGAGCGAGCCGUCUAAGGUGGGNCAAAUGAUUAGGGUGAAGUCGUAACAAGGUAGCCGUAGGAGAACC